This 253-nucleotide ribosomal RNA is filed under the name uncultured Lachnospiraceae bacterium. Its description in RNAcentral is "partial 16S ribosomal RNA". It matches the Rfam family "Bacterial small subunit ribosomal RNA", at positions 524 to 776 of the family's 1533-position model. Lineage: Bacteria; Bacillati; Bacillota; Clostridia; Lachnospirales; Lachnospiraceae. The record is from RNAcentral.
UACGGAGGAUCCAAGCGUUAUCCGGAUUUACUGGGUGUAAAGGGAGCGUAGACGGUGAGACAAGUCUGAAGUGAAAGCCCGGGGCUUAACCCCGGAACGGCUUUGGAAACUGGCCGGCUGGAGUGCUGGAGAGGCAGGCGGAAUUCCUAGUGUAGCGGUGAAAUGCGUAGAUAUUAGGAGGAACACCAGUGGCGAAGGCGGCCUGCUGGACGGUGACUGACGCUGAGGCUCGAAAGCGUGGGGAGCAAACAGG